RNAcentral lists this ribosomal RNA (469 nucleotides) under uncultured bacterium. RNAcentral describes it as "partial 16S ribosomal RNA". It matches the Rfam family "Bacterial small subunit ribosomal RNA", at positions 28 to 508 of the family's 1533-position model. The record is from RNAcentral.
GACGAACGCUGGCGGCGUGCUUAACACAUGCAAGUCGAACGGAAAGGCCCUGCUUUUGUGGGGUGCUCGAGUGGCGAACGGGUGAGUAACACGUGAGUAACCUGCCCUUGACUUUGGGAUAACUUCAGGAAACUGGGGCUAAUACCGGAUAGGAGCUCCUGCUGCAUGGUGGGGGUUGGAAAGUUUCGGCGGUUGGGGAUGGACUCGCGGCUUAUCAGCUUGUUGGUGGGGUAGUGGCUUACCAAGGCUUUGACGGGUAGCCGGCCUGAGAGGGUGACCGGCCACAUUGGGACUGAGAGACGGCCCAGACUCCUACGGGAGGCAGCAGGGGGGAAUAUUGCACAAUGGGCGGAAGCCUGAUGCAGCAACGCCGCGUGCGGGAUGACGGCCUUCGGGUUGUAAACCGCUUUCGCCUGUGACGAAGCGUGAGUGACGGUAAUGGGUAAAGAAGCACCGGCUAACUACGUGC